This 72-nucleotide transfer RNA is filed under the name Parcubacteria group bacterium. RNAcentral describes it as "tRNA-Arg". It matches the Rfam family "tRNA". Rfam says of the family: Transfer RNA (tRNA) molecules are approximately 80 nucleotides in length. The record is from RNAcentral. RNAcentral also lists the same sequence under 1 other name.
GCCCUCGUAGUUCAAUGGAUAGAAUAGCUCCCUUCUAAGGAGCGGAUGGGGGUCCGAUUCCUCCCGAGGGCA